GACGAACGCUGGCGGCGUGCUUAACACAUGCAAGUCGAACGGAAAGGCCCUGCUUUUGUGGGGUGCUCGAGUGGCGAACGGGUGAGUAACACGUGAGUAACCUGCCCUUGACUUUGGGAUACCUCCAGGAAACUGGGGCUAUUACCGCAUAGAAGCUCUUGCUCCAUGUGGGGGGUUGGAAAGUUUCGGCGGUUGGGGAUGGACUCGCGGCUUAUCAGCUUGUUGGUGGGGUAGUGGCUUACCAAGGCUUUGACGGGUAGCCGGCCUGAGAGGGUGACCGGCCACAUUGGGACUGAGAUACGGCCCAGACUCCUACGGGAGGCAGCAGUGGGGAAUAUUGCACAAUGGGCGGAAGCCUGAUGCAGCAACGCCGCGUGCGGGAUGACGGCCUUCGGGUUGUAAACCGCUUUCGCCUGUGACGAAGCGUGAGUGACGGUAAUGGGUAAAGAAGCACCGGCUAACUACGUG
RNAcentral lists this ribosomal RNA (468 nucleotides) under uncultured bacterium. RNAcentral describes it as "partial 16S ribosomal RNA". It matches the Rfam family "Bacterial small subunit ribosomal RNA", at positions 28 to 507 of the family's 1533-position model. The record is from RNAcentral.